GCAUAGCUGUAAACAAUGAUACAAAAAUACUCAUUAUCCGCCCGGGAACUACGAGCACUAGCUUAAAACCCAAAGGACUUGGCGGUGCUUUAGACCCACCUAGAGGAGCCUGUUCUAGAACUGAUAACCCCCGUUAAACCUCACCCUAUCUUGUCAGACCCGCCUAUAUACCGCCGUCGUCAGCUUACCUCGUGAGAGCAAAGUAGUGAGCAAAAUUGGUAUAACCCAAAACGUCAGGUCGAGGUGUAGUAAAUGCUAGGGGAAGAAAUGGGCUACAUUCACCUAUCGGUGAAUAACAGAUGAUUAACUGAAAACAAAUCUGAAGGAGGAUUUAGAAGUAAAAAGGAAAUAGAGUGUUCUUUUGAAACUGGCUCUGAAGCGCG
RNAcentral lists this ribosomal RNA (383 nucleotides) under Amphelikturus dendriticus (pipehorse). RNAcentral describes it as "partial 12S ribosomal RNA". It matches the Rfam family "Bacterial small subunit ribosomal RNA", at positions 794 to 1383 of the family's 1533-position model. Lineage: Eukaryota; Metazoa; Chordata; Actinopteri; Syngnathiformes; Syngnathidae. The record is from RNAcentral.